GUUGCACGACUACGGGGGGGGAUGAGAACCCCCGACCGGGGUUCGACAACUGGCGCAGCCAGUUGGACAGACUGUGAGCGAAGCGAACAGGCUGCCCGCAGGGCGAGCGAAGCGAGUCAAUCCCCCCCUCACCGCCA
This 137-nucleotide small RNA is filed under the name Enterobacter hormaechei subsp. hoffmannii. RNAcentral's name for it is "RtT sRNA". It matches the Rfam family "RtT RNA". Rfam says of the family: This family represents a bacterial cis-regulatory element known as RtT RNA. Lineage: Bacteria; Pseudomonadati; Pseudomonadota; Gammaproteobacteria; Enterobacterales; Enterobacteriaceae. The record is from RNAcentral.